Molecule: long non-coding RNA, 504 nt
Organism: Dreissena polymorpha
Lineage: Eukaryota; Metazoa; Mollusca; Bivalvia; Myida; Dreissenidae
Exons: 3
Source: RefSeq, a predicted model, not a curated record
AAUACAGUAGGGCACAGUCGACAGUGACAAUUUUCGGAUAAACUUCCUGGUUUUUGUCAAAGGGGCAGAACCUACUACCUGGUAGUUUCAAUGAUGAACUAUCAUGAUAUAGGGCUAAAAGAUGGAUGUGCCAAAUCCACCUCAUGAAAAACAGAUUGGGCAAAAGUGGAGUGCGAACACUAAAUGAUGUGCUGCUAAAUAGCAGAUCUUUACAAGUGAAUUUGGAAAAUCCUGAUGCAACCUGAGCUUACCAAGUUUACUGACAGUUUGGACUCUGUGUGGAUGAUAAAAUGGACAAUAUAUUGUGUUCAUGUUGUGUUGUGAUUGACUUUUUUUAACAGAUAAGAUUUUUUAAUCCAGACUUAACAGGUGAUUUUCUUCAAAGAAUAAAUACAAUACUUUUUUUAUUGAUGUGCAUGAAUUUGAGUACAAAAUAUCAACAAUGUGUAUCCUGUGUUGUUUUUCCAAUCAGUCUGUCAUCCAUAGGUAAUAUAUUAAGUAUGA